This is a non-coding RNA of Acanthosepion pharaonis, 110 nucleotides long. The record is from the annotation of a GenBank genome assembly. Lineage: Eukaryota; Metazoa; Mollusca; Cephalopoda; Sepiida; Sepiidae.
GGGCAUAACAAGUUGAAGCACCAGCUCACAUACGAUCGCCGAAGUUAAGCAACGUCGUGUUUGGUCAUUACUUGUGUGGGUGAAUGCUUGGGAUUACCAGGUACUGUAAU